UACGUAGGGCGCAAGCGUUAUCCGGAAUUAUUGGGCGUAAAGAGCUCGUAGGCGGUUUGUCGCGUCUGCCGUGAAAGUCCGGGGCUCAAUUCCGGAUCUGCGGUGGGUACGGGCAGACUAGAGUGAUGUAGGGGAGACUGGAAUUGGCAGUGUAGCAGUGAAAUGCGUAGAGAUUGCCAGGAACACCAAUGGCGAAGGCAGCUUGCUGGGCUUUUUCUGACACUGAGGGACGAAAGCGUGGGGAGCGAACAGG
RNAcentral lists this ribosomal RNA (253 nucleotides) under uncultured bacterium. RNAcentral describes it as "partial 16S ribosomal RNA". It matches the Rfam family "Bacterial small subunit ribosomal RNA", at positions 524 to 776 of the family's 1533-position model. The record is from RNAcentral.